AUCAAAACAACGUAAACUACCUCCAACUUGGUCAAUUAAAGUCCCACCAUGCACCUUCAAUCCAAGUUCCAGACCAAACCAACCCCUUAAAUCACAGUCUGUUAAGAGCUAAAAAUGUGUUAAAUUCAAUUGUAGUUGGUGUUUGGUGGAAGAUUUUUUGCUGUCUCUUCCUUCUGCUUCUUAUUAGUUUGCACAAGCAAUUGAA
Molecule: unclassified non-coding RNA, 205 nt
Filed under: Hevea brasiliensis (rubber tree)
Lineage: Eukaryota; Viridiplantae; Streptophyta; Magnoliopsida; Malpighiales; Euphorbiaceae
Source: RNAcentral